AGGGGGGGAACACGGAUGAUAAGACAAGCAUCAUGCACUAGCACAUCAUGGGAGUUUGUGUUACUAUCAGCCACUGAGUGCAAUAUUACCUAUUAACAAUGUCAAACUAGAGCACUUUAUGAAGCAUGAUACUAAAAAUAUUUAUCAUUAUGAAAAUACAUCUAACAAGAAUAGAUAAAUGACUACGACACUAAGAAUGAGAAUAUAUAUCACCCUUUGCUAUUUGAGUGGGGGGAUGGAGGUUUGGUUUUGGUUGGAGUCCGCCCAUGCGGGUGGAUAUAGGGUAGAAAAGUAGAGAUCAGAACGUCCUAAUAGAGAGAGAGAGAGAGAGACCAAUGAUGUUAAUAUAUAAUUCUAACAUAAACUUCCAUAGAUCCUUCAUAUUAGUUAUAUCAUCCGACUUCUCUAGGCAUAGUCAUCAAAGUAUACAAUUGAAAGAGAGAAUUUUGUGUCUGCAACACUAUUUUCUUUAAUAUUGGUGAAUUUUUUUUAUUAAACUUGAAAUAUCAAUGCAUGCAACUGCAAGGUGCUCGCUUGGACGGUACCAUCCUUUUUUGCUUAUACAAGAGAAUGGAGAUUAGAUUCUGAUUAGAAUCAACCUUCAAGGGUGGGGUGGCUAUAGGAUAGAAAAGGACAUGUCUUGAGUCGUCGUGCACGGUUGAUCCAAUACAUGGCUACGAUGCAUUGAUUAUAAAGCAUCCUCGAGCGGUAUCUCAACUCCACACUUCUCCUUAUUCAAGGUUCUUACUAUAAUAAUAUUCAAGGAGACUAAUAAUAUUCAGGGGACUAGGAGAGUCCACCAUUAUGCCACUGCCUCCUUUGCGGCUUUGCCGUGAGAAAUUAUUAGGUAGAUGGUUUUACUAGUUAGGAUUAUAGGCUACCUAAUGAUAUCUCACCCCACCAUCUAUUCGGAUAACAAACUCCAUUCCAUCCUCAACCCAUCUCUAGUUAACCAUUGUUAGAUUUUUACAUGCAUGGCACAUGUGACUAAUAAAAAGUAAUAUAUUUUGGCUGAAAAAAGGAACAAAAAGGAGAAAUCGAAGGAACCCUAAACCCAAUUGUUGCCUCUCCCCAGUCCACCACCGGACCUCAACUCCAUCUUGUAGGCCUUCUCCCUCCUCAAA
Molecule: long non-coding RNA, 1124 nt
Filed under: Phoenix dactylifera (date palm)
Lineage: Eukaryota; Viridiplantae; Streptophyta; Magnoliopsida; Arecales; Arecaceae
Description: long non-coding RNA (PDAC_LNC004585)
Source: RNAcentral